This 402-nucleotide ribosomal RNA is filed under the name bacterium. Its description in RNAcentral is "partial 16S ribosomal RNA". It matches the Rfam family "Bacterial small subunit ribosomal RNA", at positions 355 to 776 of the family's 1533-position model. The record is from RNAcentral.
UGGGGAAUUUUGCACAAUGGGGGAAACCCUGAUGCAGCGACGCCGCGUGAUUUAGAAGGCCUUCGGGUUGUAAAAAUCUUUUUUACGGGAUGAAAAUGACAGUACCGUAAGAAUAAGGUCCGGCUAAAUACGUGCCAGCAGCCGCGGUAAUACGUAUGGACCGAGCGUUGUCCGGAAUCAUUGGGCGUAAAGGGUACGUAGGCGGCCUAGUAAGUUAGAAGUGAAAUAAUAUAGCUCAACUAUAUAAAGCUUUUAAAACUGCUAGGCUUGAGAGAUGGAAGGGAAAGUGGAAUUCCUAGUGUAGCGGUGAAAUGCGCAGAUAUCAGGAAGAAUACCGGUGGCGAAGGCGACUUUCUGGUCAUCAUCUGACGCUGAGGUACGAAAGCGUGGGUAGCAAACAGG